UUGGCAAUCGCUGGUAUUUGCUAGAGGAAAGUCCAUGCUCGCACCAUCUGUGAUGAUGGUAGUGUUUGUGCUAGUUUAAUUAAUAAGGCUAGGUAUCAUAUUGAUAACGGCGGAUGUUUAUACCUAAGUUUACAUUUGUAGAUAUGGUAUAAUGCCCUAAGGUGUCACAGUGACGAAGUAUUUUGUGAAAACAAAGUAGUGGAACGCGAUAAACCCCGCAAGCGAGAAACCCAAAUUUGGUAGGGGAAUCUUUGAGGCUUAAUUAAGAAGGCUAAAAAGGACGAUCAUAAGAUCGUAGAUAAAUGGUUGCCACCUUUUAUAAGGUACAGAACAUGGCUUAUAA
This 343-nucleotide RNase P RNA is filed under the name pig gut metagenome. RNAcentral's name for it is "Bacterial RNase P class B". It matches the Rfam family "Bacterial RNase P class B". From Rfam's summary of the family: Ribonuclease P (RNase P) is a ubiquitous endoribonuclease, found in archaea, bacteria and eukarya as well as chloroplasts and mitochondria. The record is from RNAcentral.